UAAAAUUACCUAAUAGUGGGUUGCCUCCCACUCAACGCUUUGUUAUAGUCAUUUAGCUUGACUAUGGAGGUAUGUGGCUAGUUGGUGGAAAGACAGCUACUUGUUGGGAAACAAGCAUCCACCUCAUCUGUGCACAUUCUCGACCAAGCUGCAAUGAAACUUCUUGUGGCCUCAUCGUUUCUGGUCCAUCUCUCAUCCAUUUUCUGUAUUGCAUUUGAGAUGUUCUGUAGCCGUUCUUGGAUGUCCUCCAUCCUGGAUUGAUGCCAUCCUAUCUUGUUGUAGGCGUAUGGUGAUAGCUCAUUUAGUUCCCUAUGCAUUAACUCCACUUUGUUCUAUCUCAACUGCUCGUCGUCUGGUGUAGACGUGGUAUCGAUCGAUGCAACCAAGUGUCUAUCGAUCGUUACUGGUGCAGUACUGUCGAUCGAUUUGUAGUGUGUUCUAUCGAUCGAU
This 450-nucleotide long non-coding RNA is filed under the name Brassica napus (rape). RNAcentral's name for it is "long non-coding RNA (BNAP_LNC006865)". The record is from RNAcentral. Lineage: Eukaryota; Viridiplantae; Streptophyta; Magnoliopsida; Brassicales; Brassicaceae.